GACGAACGCUGGCGGCGUGCCUAAUACAUGCAAGUAGAACGCUGAAGGAGGAGCUUGCUCUUCUGGAUGAGUUGCGAACGGGUGAGUAACGCGUAGGUAACCUGCCUGGUAGCGGGGGAUAACUAUUGGAAACGAUAGCUAAUACCGCAUAACAGUAGAUGUUGCAUGACAUUUGCUUAAAAGGUGCAAUUGCAUCACUACCAGAUGGACCUGCGUUGUAUUAGCUAGUUGGUGGGGUAACGGCUCACCAAGGCGACGAUACAUAGCCGACCUGAGAGGGUGAUCGGCCACACUGGGACUGAGACACGGCCCAGACUCCUACGGGAGGCAGCAGUAGGGAAUCUUCGGCAAUGGACGGAAGUCUGACCGAGCAACGCCGCGUGAGUGAAGAAGGUUUUCGGAUCGUAAAGCUCUGUUGUAAGAGAAGAACGAGUGUGAGAGUGGAAAGUUCACACUGUGACGGUAUCUUACCAGAAAGGGACGGCCAACUACGUG
This 495-nucleotide ribosomal RNA is filed under the name uncultured bacterium. Its description in RNAcentral is "partial 16S ribosomal RNA". It matches the Rfam family "Bacterial small subunit ribosomal RNA", at positions 28 to 507 of the family's 1533-position model. The record is from RNAcentral.